UAAUGACCACAGUCGUAGUUCGCCAUUGUGGCCCCUACAGUCAAUCGUGAAUCCACUCUCGUUAGAGGGAAUGCCAAUAUCAUUCACAGGAAGUGGUUCACCAAUAGAUUCAAAUACAGAUACAUAUACAGAAAUAGAAACACCCCAGUGAUAAAGGUCAAAUGAAUUUUCAAUUAUUUCUUAUUUCUUUACUGAUUUCAAUUCACAGAUAAUCAUGAAUUCAAAACCAGUGGGAGUCCCAUCAACAUAUCAUGUCCUAACGAUGCCUUUAUAGCUGGAUU
RNAcentral lists this long non-coding RNA (281 nucleotides) under Carica papaya (papaya). RNAcentral's name for it is "long non-coding RNA (CPAP_LNC011399)". Lineage: Eukaryota; Viridiplantae; Streptophyta; Magnoliopsida; Brassicales; Caricaceae. The record is from RNAcentral.